RNAcentral lists this ribosomal RNA (446 nucleotides) under uncultured bacterium. RNAcentral's name for it is "bacterial SSU rRNA". It matches the Rfam family "Bacterial small subunit ribosomal RNA", at positions 329 to 792 of the family's 1533-position model. The record is from RNAcentral.
UACCAGACUCCUACGGGAGGCAGCAGUGGGGGAUAUUGCACAAUGGGGGAAACCCUGAUGCAGCGACGCCGCGUGAGUGAAGAAGUAUUUCGGUAUGUAAAGCUCUAUCAGCAGGGACGAAAAUGACGGUACCUGAGUAAGAAGCCCCGGCUAACUACGUGCCAGCAGCCGCGGUAAUACGUAGGGGGCAAGCGUUAUCCGGAUUUACUGGGUGUAAAGGGAGCGUAGACGGCAGUGCAAGUCUGAAGUGAAAGCCCCGGGCUUAACCCGGGAACUGCUUUGGAAACUGUACGGCUGGAGUGCUGGAGAGGUAAGCGGAAUUCCUAGUGUAGCGGUGAAAUGCGUAGAUAUUAGGAGGAACACCAAUGGCGAAGGCGGCUUACUGGACAGUAACUGACGUUGAGGCUCGAAAGCGUGGGGAGCAAACAGGAUUAGAUACCCGUGUA